GAUGAACGCUAGCGGGAGGCUUAAUACAUGCAAGUCGAGGGAGAAGCACAGUGCUUGCACUAUGUGGAAACCGGCGAACGGGUGCGUAACACGUACGCAACCUACCCUUUACAGAGGAAUAGCCCUGAGAAAUUGGGAUUAAUACCUCAUAGUAUUACUUUAAGGCAUCUUUUAGUAAUUAAAGUUCCGGCGGUAAAGGAUGGGCGUGCGGCUCAUUAGCUAGUUGGUAAGGUAAUGGCUUACCAAGGCAACGAUGAGUAGCCGGCGUGAGAGCGCGAUCGGCCACACUGGCACUGAGACACGGGCCAGACUCCUACGGGAGGCAGCAGUAGGGAAUAUUGGACAAUGGAGGAAACUCUGAUCCAGCCAUCCCGCGUGAAGGAUGACGGUCCUCUGGAUUGUAAACUUCUUUUAUAUGGGAAGAAACCUCGAGAUUUAUCUUGAGCUGACGGUACCAUAAGAAUAAGCACCGGCUAACUCCG
This 482-nucleotide ribosomal RNA is filed under the name uncultured Bacteroidota bacterium. Its description in RNAcentral is "bacterial SSU rRNA". It matches the Rfam family "Bacterial small subunit ribosomal RNA", at positions 28 to 505 of the family's 1533-position model. The record is from RNAcentral. Lineage: Bacteria; Pseudomonadati; Bacteroidota.